Molecule: ribosomal RNA, 460 nt
Filed under: uncultured bacterium
Lineage: Bacteria
Description: partial 16S ribosomal RNA
Rfam family: Bacterial small subunit ribosomal RNA
Source: RNAcentral
CCUACGGGGGGCAGCAGUGAGGAAUAUUGGUCAAUGGACGAGAGUCUGAACCAGCCAAGUAGCGUGAAGGAUGACUGCCCUAUGGGUUGUAAACUUCUUUUAUAUGGGAAUAAAACGUUCCACGUGUGGGAUUUUGUAUGUACCAUAUGAAUAAGGAUCGGCUAACUCCGUGCCAGCAGCCGCGGUAAUACGGAGGAUCCGAGCGUUAUCCGGAUUUAUUGGGUUUAAAGGGGGCGUAGGUGGAUUGUUAAGUCAGUUGUGAAAGUUUGCGGCUCAACCGUAAAAUUGCAGUUGAAACUGGCAGUCUUGAGUACAGUAGAGGUGGGCGGAAUGCGUGGUGUAGCGGUGAAAUGCUUAGAUAUCACGAAGAACUCCGAUUGCGAAGGCAGUUCACUGGACUGCAACUGACACUGAGGCUCGAAAGUGUGGGUAUCAAACAGGAUUAGAUACCCUAGUAGUC